AGCAGUGCGGCGGCUGCGUUCUUGCUCAGCCACCGCCUCGGCGCCCGCCCGCGCCCGCCGGCCCGCCGGCCGGCCAUGGCAGGUGAGGAGCAGAGGUCGGGCGGGGGCGCGGGCCUGACGCGCCCGAGGUGUCCGCGGGAGCCGGAGGCGGCGGCUGCCCCGCGGGCCCAGCGACUUGCAGCGGUGCUUCUCGCAGGUCAAGGCGGCCGUCGACGAGGACGUGGCCGAAGGGCUGGAGCACUCGAUCCUCUGACGUUCUUCAGCUUCACGUCAGUUCUUGCUCCCUUCUCCAGUGAUGUAUUUUAAAGUUCCUGCUCCAGAUUUUACUCUUGAACUUUACGGCGUUGCUUGAAGUAGGUGGAUGUUUCCCUUAGUCACAGUCUCAGAGUCUCGAGUAAUUCAUUCCGUCUCAGUGGGACUUCUGCCGGCCAGAACCCACGCAUCACUCCAGGGAGCCAGCUAAGGAAAGGGAAGAGUGUCACAGGGGCUGGCUCUCAGCUUAGUUCCUCUGAGUGUGGACAACAGUGUCCUGAAGGGCUGCUGGCGCCGGAUGUUGGAACAGAGAAACCCAGCACUGCCUCUCGAGACCCCCAGUUACACAGAGACUGGCAAGCAUGUGGGCCAUGGCAGCGGCUUGAGAGCGGCACACGUGGACAUGGAGGAGCACCCAGGACGCGGACGGCGAGGGGAGAAGGGAAGGAAGUCGGGGCGGGGGGUAGUGUUCCAGAUUGAGGGGCUUGGAGUGGAGAUUGGAGAGAGCCCGGUGCAUCCGGAAAACCAGUCCUGGUGUGCUGGUCUGGCAAAGAAGGGAGUGCCGUGGUGAGGGCAGACUGGCAGGCCAGAGGGAGGAACCAACGCCUUGAAUUGUGGUUCGAAGUGACUUGGCGGCAUCACACUUGGGGCACUUGGACGUACGUGUUGGCACACAGAGUCACUCAGAUCUUCUGAACGCCGAUUCGUUUCUUCACACGAGGUCAGGAAAGACCAGUGCUGAUCUCAUCAGAGAAGCCCUGGUGGAAAACUGCCGGGAAUAAAAGCCGCCCUCACUCUAUGGGAGAAUACAAAGUCUACAGUACCUGUCAAAGUCACAGACCAGAGUUUGACUGUUUGAAAAGUCUAGAAAUUGAGGGAAAAAUUAAUAAAAUUGGAUGGUUACCGCAACAGAAUGCUGCUUACUUUCUGCUUUCUGCACAUGUCUUCAUUACAUGCCAGCAGCAGCAGGAUCGGCACUCGUGUCUAUGGAUGCAGCCCCGCCAGGCAGGCCAGGCACGUCGCUAAGUCUGGUCACCGCACUGACGUAGACCCUUUUCGUGGCCGCGCCUCCUUCCCACCUGAUCUGGUAAACCCACUGUGUGCGCUGCCCCCUGCCUGCGAUCCUGAGCCUUAGCCCAGCGCCCUAGACAUCACACCGGGGCAUCACACCGGCUGACAUGGAGGAGCUGGCGGAGGUGGUCACGGUGGCCGUGUUCCACCUGCGCCGCUGCUGCGUGCUGGGCUACAGCAGCAGCAGCAGAGGGGGACCGGCAGGCUGUGCAACCGCUGUUCCGAGUGUAAGUGCCCGGCAGGCUUAAACGCCUCCUUUAGGUCGUGUGGUCUCCAGUGCUAGACAGUGGUUCCCUGUGCUCUGCCUGGGCCCACCAGCACAGGCCCGGCCCUGUCUCCUGAGGCCCAGCGAGGCUCUGCCUGGUGCUGAACAGAGCGGGGCGCGAGGCCGAGCUGUCAUGGUGGCACCUUUGCACCCUGCCACGCUGCAUUGGGGCCUCUGCCAGGGCCGCAGGACGCCCUUGGCCGUGACGUCUCGGUGGUGGAAUGGGCUCCGCGCACAGAGGGCUUGCAGGAUGGAAGCCCCUUCCCUCAGGUGAAAGGCCAGCACUUUGACCUGCUGGGCCGAAAAGUCCCUCCCAGGCGAGGAACGGACUGGUUUGGUUCCUAUUUUUAGCCGUAGCGAACAGGCCCUGGUUUCUACUGGUUUUGUAGAAAAUCAGUGGUCCGUGUGUCACGGACACGCAUGUGCCGUGUGUGCUAGAAGCUUGGCCCCCGCAUCCCAACACUGAGGUGGCACCGUCCUGGUGAGAGCGCCGGACUUCGUGUCCCCACAGGAGGCCUGUCCGGUGCCUCCCAGCGCAGCGCGGGCGGCCCCAGCGCUGCCACCGCGAGGCGUGCUUGACGGCUGGCUCUCGGUGACCUCUCUGCCGUAUUCUGUCUCUCUGAGGCUGAAGUGCGUUUUAAAGAAGUCUGUACUUCUGGUAGAAUUCCCGCAAAGAAAAAUGAGUCUUUUACAAUGUUUGGCCUGUGUUUUCAAGGCAGCACUCUGGCGUAACCAGGUUUAGAUUGCAGCGGUUGUUUUGUCAGCACAUUUAUUUGAGUAAAUGCUCGGUAUUGCCACCAGCUCGCUUUAAUUAACUUCAGAUGCAGAGCCAGCAAACAUAGGUUCCAACAUUAAGAAAAAAAUCAAAAGCAGCCGAAAAUGAAAGGAGGUCCAGACCUCCUGGCCCAGAACUGACCGAGCCAAGAGCGCGGCAGAGCUGGGGCACUGGUGUCAGUACGCGGUGGGGGCCUCAGCGCAGGCGGCGGGCUGUCGAGUUACUGCUGCAAAGGCAAGGUUUGCCAAGGGAGCGUUUGGAAUCUUCCCGGAAGCGGUAACUCGAUUUUGUUAGCGUCCAUCGUGACUGCUGAAUAGCGAAGAAAACCCCUUCCCUGGCGGCUAUGACAGACGAGCUGUCCUGGUGGUUCAAACCUGGACUGCGGCGUUCCCGGCUGCGGGUCCCUGAGCAGCUCCCGGCCUCGCUGGCCCCGAGCGCAGCUGCAUCCUCACACGAUGCCCUUCACGUCUUUCUGGGGCGGGACCUGGCACCAGUUUGGCAGCAACAGCAUCAGGUCAGUGGCCUCGCCAGAUGUGGUCUGACGGUCGCAGGGAGCAGUCUGGUUCUGUCCAGGGCCUCGUCCGUGGAGAUGUUGGUUCCGAGCCGGGGCGAGCCGGGGGCCUGAGCUUCAGAACAAGUGGGGGCGGGAGCAGUGUCGGGGCCAAGCCCUCUGGUGUCUCGGGUUGGGGGGCCUGAGUCCUACCUGGACUUGAAAAGGAUUUGUUCUCAGGUGUUUAAACAGAAGCUGAGAACGCUGUGUUUUCCAGUUUUUGAAGAGCCGGAAGACCCCAGCAGCAGGUCCUUCUCCUCAGAAAAUAUCUCCUCCGUCUCCGACGUGAAGUUCAGCCACAGUGGUCGGUACGUGCUGACCCAGGACUACCCGUCGGUGAAGGUGUGGGACCUCAACAUGGAGAGCCGGCCCGUGGAGACCCACCAGGGGAGGCCACGACGGGGCUGGCCCGCGCUGUGCCCACGACCACCCCGACCCUCCUGUGCUCCCCGUCAGGGUGCACCGGCACCUCCUACGCAGCGGCCGGCUGUGCUGCCUGCACGAGAACCACUGCGUCUUCGACAAGUUCGGGGGCUGCGGAGCGGCUGCGACGGGGGAGGCCGCCGGGGCUGCGGGGGGCUGCGGGCUGACGGUGGGCACGUCCCGCGUCCGUCUGCCAUGACGGCUUUGAGGGGACAGUGGGAUGUGUGGCCACCCUGUGCAAACGGCAGGCGCGGUGCGUGGUUUGCAGGGGCCGCAUUCAAAUGCUCAGUGGGAUGAUACGCUUUCCUUCUUCACUGUUUCCAACGUGAGUGACGUGGGAGUGAGCGGGGAGCACCACGUACUGUGAGUGUGGACGGGCCACGUUCCCGCUUGCCUUUGCUGCCGGGGAGCAGCGGAGGGAGACGCCCUCGGCUGGCUGUCGCGCUUGGACAGAAGCGGAGGCGGCCGGCGGGAGCGUGGCCCCGACGCCGGGUAUUCCCCGUGCACGUUCUUAGAGGUGCCGCUGAGACCGUGGUGCUUAGGGCUCUGUCUUCGGUGCCCCACGGAGAGCUCGUCCCCCGUGGUGGGGGCUCUCGCGUCGUCGGUCGGGUCUGCACAGCGUCGAGCCUGCCCGUCGUGUGGGCCACAGAGGCCUGGCCCCUGGCCGCGGGGUGGGGACGGACGUCCUGGCUCAGACACCAAGAACGUCGGAUGUGGCACGUGCACCUCCUCACGCGCACAGCUGAGCUCACGGGAGCUAGGAGGGGCCCUCGGGGCUGUGGGAGAGGCAUCCGUCCAACGUCCACACGGAGCCCGAGGGAAGCUUGUCUUCUGAGACUUGGGUUGGGCGGAUAAAAGUCGUCUGGGAUAAGACACCAGAGCCUGCCUCCCUCGCCUAGAAGUCUGACUUAGGGCAGGUGCGCCAGGCAGGCAGCUCUGGGCAACGCACGGAGGAACCCUUUCAGGUCCAGGCCUCUCCCGUUCUCAAGCUGGCGUGCCACCUAAGUGUCCCCUGGAUGCUGGCUGAGGACACGGAGCCCCUGUCGUAGACGGGACUGCACUCCUCGCGGCACAGCACAGCAGCACGUGCGCCACAGACACCCCAUGGGCGGGCACGGGGGCCGGGCAGGGGCCACUCGAGGGGGUUGGUGCCAGGGCCACGCAGGCUGGGCCGGCAGCAGCCACAGCCGAGACACGAUGUGGCCCGGGUGCAGCCAGAAGCUUUCUGGUGACGUUCACUUGUUGAUUCACUCUUGCCGACGUCCCCUGCCCCCCUGCCCGGGACGGCACUGCCGAACAGUUCCACUUUGUCCUGCUCUGGGUUGUAUAAGCAGACGUGGACACGGCCACUUCCUUGCAAGUCCACUUCCCCUAUGUUUGGCAGUGUUCCCACCUGGGUAGCAGGGGACACCUGGCCAGGUGCUCAGGAAGCUUCUCACACUGAGUGGAGGAGCGGCCAGUGGGGACACCCCCUCCCUGGCACGUGUUGUCCGUCAGGAACUCUGAACUUGUAAAGUUGGUCGCUUUUAUUUCUGUUGUGUAUAGCCCUUGUGGUCAAUGUUGAUAGUAAAAUACUCCAUCCUGG
Non-coding RNA from Vicugna pacos (alpaca), 4921 nucleotides. The record is from RefSeq and is a predicted model, not a curated record. NCBI's taxonomy places the organism in Eukaryota, Metazoa, Chordata, Mammalia, Artiodactyla, Camelidae.